UCUAGAACCGAUAACCCCCGUUAAACCUCACCCUCUCUUGUUCUUCCCGCCUAUAUACCGCCGUCGUCAGCUUACCCUAUGAAGGAGCCACAGUAAGCAGAACUAGUACAACUCAA
Molecule: ribosomal RNA, 116 nt
Filed under: Oreochromis sp. CAS-2009
Lineage: Eukaryota; Metazoa; Chordata; Actinopteri; Cichliformes; Cichlidae
Description: partial 12S ribosomal RNA
Source: RNAcentral